UAUAGAGCAGAAGUAACAACAGUAACAGUGAUAGUAAUAGUAAUAAACAACAAUAGCCGCAAGAAUGUAACGGCAACGACAGAGCGGCAAUAACAACAGGAGCAGCAGGAGCAGCAACAGCAGCAACAGCAGCAGCAACAGCAGCAACAGCAGCAGCAGCAGCAGCAGCAACAGCAGCAGCAGGCAGACCAGCCAGCUAGCCAGCUAGCCUGCCAGCCUGCCAAGCAGGCAGGCAGGCAGCAGGCAGACGAGGGGGAUUGUGGUGGCGGACACGCACAGUUCGGUACGCGCUGGCAACUGGCGCGCCACGAGAGUUCAUUGUCCCGUGCGUGCCCGCCGAUGGAAGCCCCUCGACCGAAAUGAGGGACCGGUGUUGGCUGUAAACUUGACGAGAGACCGAGGAGGAGGAGAAUGUUGAUUCGGGAUAUAGAGUACUACUGAACUACUACAUCGUUAUAACUACUACGUACGUCACUACUGCCGUUACUGUUACUACUAUCGCAGUACUCUACUUAUGUGUUCGCUAACGUCGACAUACAUCACUACUAUGUAUGCGUUGGCUAACGUCAGCAUAUACUGCGGUACCACUACUAUCAACCAUUGCCGUCGCCCAUUACGGCUGCUCGAUGCAGCCAAGAGCGAGCAGGCAGGCAAGCAAGCAAGCAGGCAAGCAGGCAGGCCCGUACGCAGUACUCGUGGAAAGUACCGAACGUGAUGUCGGCUUAUUCCUCGGUAACUUUCCAUCGUAUCGAGCGUAAACGAAGAAAGUUUUACCGAAGCAAUGCGACAAAAAGUAA
Molecule: long non-coding RNA, 797 nt
Organism: Vespula pensylvanica (western yellowjacket)
Lineage: Eukaryota; Metazoa; Arthropoda; Insecta; Hymenoptera; Vespidae
Exons: 2
Source: RefSeq, a predicted model, not a curated record